GACGAACGCUGGCGGCGUGCUUAACACAUGCAAGUCGAACGGAAAGGCCCUGCUUUUGUGGGGUGCUCGAGUGGCGAACGGGUGAGUAACACGUGAGUAACCUGCCCUUGACUUUGGGAUAACUUCAGGAAACUGGGGCUAAUACCGGAUAGGAGCUCCUGCCGCAUGGUGGGGGUUGGAAAGUUUCGGCGGUUGGGGAUGGACUCGCGGCUUAUCAGCUUGUUGGUGGGGUAGUGGCUUACCAAGGCUUUGACGGGUAGCCGGCCUGAGAGGGUGACCGGCCACAUUGGGACUGAGAUACGGCCCAGACUCCUACGGGAGGCAGCAGUGGGGAAUAUUGCACAAUGGGCGGAAGCCUGAUGCAGCAACGCCGCGUGCGGGAUGACGGCCUUCGGGUUGUAAACCGCUUUCGCCUGUGACGAAGCGUGAGUGACGGUAAUGUGUAAAGAAGCACCGGCUAACUACGUG
Molecule: ribosomal RNA, 468 nt
Filed under: uncultured bacterium
Lineage: Bacteria
Description: partial 16S ribosomal RNA
Rfam family: Bacterial small subunit ribosomal RNA
Source: RNAcentral